GCUUAUGAUGAUGAUGAUCUUUGUUCGCAUUUCUCUAAAGAUCUCAUGCAUUUGCCGAUUGGGAUGGCAACCUAGGAUGGUUAUGUUCUCCUUCGUAAGUGACAAUAAGCAUUGAUGGCUCUUCCAAGCAUCUCUCAACGUGCUUCCUGGCAGGACAGCCUCUCAUGCUGCUACACUUGUAGUAUCCCCUAGGGUGCGGAGAA
This 203-nucleotide unclassified non-coding RNA is filed under the name Hevea brasiliensis (rubber tree). The record is from RNAcentral. Lineage: Eukaryota; Viridiplantae; Streptophyta; Magnoliopsida; Malpighiales; Euphorbiaceae.